GAUGAACGCUGGCGGUAUGCUUAACACACGCAAGUCGAACGGACUCUUCGGAGUUAGUGGCGGACGGGUGAGUAACGCGUGAGAAUCUGGCUUUGGGUUCGGGACAACCACUGGAAACGGUGGCUAAUACCGGAUGUGCCGAGAGGUAAAAGAGAAAUUGCCUGAAGAUGAGCUCGCGUCUGAUUAGCUAGUUGGUGAGGUAAAGGCUCACCAAGGCAGCGAUCAGUAGCUGGUCUGAGAGGAUGACCAGCCACACUGGGACUGAGACACGGCCCAGACUCCUACGGGAGGCAGCAGUGGGGAAUUUUCCGCAAUGGGCGAAUGCCUGACGGAGCAAUACCGCGUGAGGGAAGAAGGCUCUUGGGUUGUAAACCUCUUUUCUUAGGGAAGAACAAAAUGACGGUACCUAAGGAAUCAGCAUCGGCUAACUCCGUG
This 435-nucleotide ribosomal RNA is filed under the name uncultured bacterium. RNAcentral describes it as "partial 16S ribosomal RNA". It matches the Rfam family "Bacterial small subunit ribosomal RNA", at positions 28 to 507 of the family's 1533-position model. The record is from RNAcentral.